This 292-nucleotide ribosomal RNA is filed under the name uncultured bacterium. RNAcentral describes it as "partial 16S ribosomal RNA". It matches the Rfam family "Archaeal small subunit ribosomal RNA", at positions 455 to 747 of the family's 1478-position model. The record is from RNAcentral.
GUGCCACAGCCGCGGUAAUACCGGCAGCUCAAGUGAUGGCCGAUCUUAUUGGGCCUAAAGCGUCCGUAGCUGGCCUCGCAAGUCCGUCGGGAAAUCCAGUAGCUCAACUACUGGGCGUCCGGCGGAAACUACAAGGCUUGGGACCGGAAGGCUCGAGGGGUACGUCCGGGGUAGGAGUGAAAUCCCGUAAUCCCGGACGGACCACCGAUGGUGAAAGCACUCUGAGAAGACGGCUUCGACAGUGAGGGACGAAAGCUAGGGUCUCAAACCGGAUUAGAUACCCCAGUAGUCC